Molecule: non-coding RNA, 58 nt
Organism: Aedes albopictus (Asian tiger mosquito)
Lineage: Eukaryota; Metazoa; Arthropoda; Insecta; Diptera; Culicidae
Source: Rfam
UAGCCUAGUGGUUAAGGCUAUGGAUCGGCAAUCCGGAGACAGCGGGUUCGAUUCCCGU